This 348-nucleotide unclassified non-coding RNA is filed under the name soil metagenome. RNAcentral describes it as "partial contains 5.8S ribosomal RNA, internal transcribed spacer 2, and large subunit ribosomal RNA". The stretch from base 1 to 120 matches the Rfam family "5.8S ribosomal RNA", at positions 35 to 154 of the family's 154-position model. The record is from RNAcentral.
GAUGAAGAACGUAGCGAAAUGCGAUAAGUAAUGUGAAUUGCAGAAUUCAGUGAAUCAUCGAAUCUUUGAACGCACAUUGCGCCCCUUGGUAUUCCGAAGGGCAUGCCUGUUCGAGCGUCAUUAUCACCCCUCAAGCCCCGGCUUGGUGUUGGGCUCUCGGUGGUCGUCUCCGACCACCCGUCUCAAAGAUAGUGACGGCGUCCCAGAGGGAAUCGGUACGAGGAGCUUUCACGAGCAUGUACGCGGGACGACUCUGCGGGCGACGGUCUUAUUUACUUUAUAUACAAGUGUUGACCUCGGAUCAGGUAGGAAUACCCGCUGAACUUAAGCAUAUCAAUAAGCGGAGGA